GAACGCACCUUGCGCCCCUUGGAUAUUCCGAAGGGCAUGCCUGUUCGAGCGUCAUUAUCACCCCUCAAGCCCCCGGCUUGGUGUUGGAUGGUUUGGUGACAGAGCCCUUGGGCCACGGUCACCCCUCCCAAAGACAAUGACGGCGGCCUCGUUGGACCCCCGGUACACUGAGUUCUUCACCGAACACGUACUGGAUCAAGGGCCCGCGGAGCACGGUCUGCCUCCCCUCAGGGAGAACUUUUUUCUCAAGGUUGACCUCGGAUCAGGUAGGAAUACCCGCUGAACUUAAG
RNAcentral lists this unclassified non-coding RNA (290 nucleotides) under Minimelanolocus asiaticus. RNAcentral describes it as "sequence contains 5.8S rRNA gene". The record is from RNAcentral. Lineage: Eukaryota; Fungi; Ascomycota; Eurotiomycetes; Chaetothyriales; Herpotrichiellaceae.